RNAcentral lists this ribosomal RNA (491 nucleotides) under uncultured bacterium. RNAcentral's name for it is "partial 16S ribosomal RNA". It matches the Rfam family "Bacterial small subunit ribosomal RNA", at positions 29 to 506 of the family's 1533-position model. The record is from RNAcentral.
AGUGAACGCUGGCGGUAGGCCUAACACAUGCAAGUCGAACGGCAGCACAGUAAGAGCUUGCUCUUACGGGUGGCGAGUGGCGGACGGGUGAGGAAUACAUCGGAAUCUACUUUUUCGUGGGGGAUAACCUAGGGAAACUUACGCUAAUACCGCAUACGACCUACGGGUGAAAGCAGGGGAUCUUCGGACCUUGCGCGAUUGAAUGAGCCGAUGUCGGAUUAGCUAGUUGGCGGGGUAAAGGCCCACCAAGGCGACGAUCCGUAGCUGGUCUGAGAGGAUGAUCAGCCACACUGGAACUGAGACACGGUCCAGACUCCUACGGGAGGCAGCAGUGGGGAAUAUUGGACAAUGGGCGCAAGCCUGAUCCAGCCAUACCGCGUGGGUGAAGAAGGCCUUCGGGUUGUAAAGCCCUUUUGUUGGGAAAGAAAAGCAGCAGGUUAAUACCCCGCUGUUCUGACGGUACCCAAAGAAUAAGCACCGGCUAACUUCGU